AUCCCAUGAUCAGGACACUUCCUAAGUAGAUCCUUAAACCUUUCCAAAACCUCAAAUAUAAUUUCAUCUUUAGUUUUCUUAAAACAGGUUAUGUCAUUCCUCUUUUU
Cicer arietinum (chickpea) is the source of this 107-nucleotide small nucleolar RNA. The record is from RefSeq and is a predicted model, not a curated record. NCBI's taxonomy places the organism in Eukaryota, Viridiplantae, Streptophyta, Magnoliopsida, Fabales, Fabaceae.